CUGAUGGGCGACCUGAGAAAUGAUGAAAGGGAGAGUCUGAGGCUAAUCCAA
Molecule: small nucleolar RNA, 51 nt
Filed under: Archaeoglobus fulgidus
Lineage: Archaea; Methanobacteriati; Methanobacteriota; Archaeoglobi; Archaeoglobales; Archaeoglobaceae
Description: partial u-14 small nucleolar RNA
Source: RNAcentral